This 840-nucleotide ribosomal RNA is filed under the name uncultured archaeon. RNAcentral's name for it is "bacterial SSU rRNA". It matches the Rfam family "Archaeal small subunit ribosomal RNA", at positions 6 to 871 of the family's 1478-position model. The record is from RNAcentral.
GGUUGAUCCUGCCAGAGGCGACCGCUUUUGGAGUUCGAUUAAGCCAUGUGAGUCGAGAGUCUUAGGGACUCGGCAUACUGCUCAGUAACACGUGGAUAACCUGCCCUAUCGUCUGGAAUAACCUCGGGAAACUGAGAAUAAGGCCGGAUAGUUCACAAUGCCUGGAACGGUUUGUGGAUAAAGGUAGGAUGGGUCUGCGGCGUAUCAGGUUGUAGGGGGUGUAACGGACCCCCUAGCCAUCGACGCGUACGGGUGUUGGGAGACAUAGCCCGGAGAUGGAUUCUGAGACACGAAUCCAGACCCUACGGGGUGCAGCAGGCGCCGAAACUUCACACUGCAGGAACUGUGAUGAGGGAACUCCAAGUGUGUGCAUUUAUGACACUUUCUGAACUCUAAUCGGUUCAGAAUAAGGCUGGGAAAGACCGGUGCCAGCCGCCGCGGUAAUACCGGCAGCUCAAGUGGUCGUCGCUUUUAUUGGGCCUAAAACGUCCGUAGCCUGUUUGGUAAAUCUGUGGGUAAAUCAACCAGCUUAACUGGUUGAAUUCUGCAGAGACUGCCAGACUAGGGACCGGGAGAGGUGUGGGGUACUCGAGGGGUAGGGGUAAAAUCCUGUCAUCCUUCGAGGACCACCAGUUGCGAAGGCGCCACACUGGAACGGAUCCGACGGUCAGGGACGAAGCCUAGGGGCACGAACCGGAUUAGAUACCCGGGUAGUCCUAGGUGUAAACGCUGUGAACUUGGUGUCGGGGGUCCGCAAGGGGUCCCCGGUGCCGGAGUGAAGAUGUUAAGUUCACUGCCUGGGGAGUCGGUCGCAAGGCUAAAACUCAAAUGAAUUGACGG